AACCAGACUCCUACGGGAGGCAGCAGUGGGGAAUAUUGCACAAUGGGGGAAACCCUGAUGCAGCGACGCCGCGUGAGUGAAGAAGUAUUUCGGUAUGUAAAGCUCUAUCAGCAGGGAAGAAAAUGACGGUACCUGACUAAGAAGCUCCGGCUAAAUACGUGCCAGCAGCCGCGGUAAUACGUAUGGAGCAAGCGUUAUCCGGAUUUACUGGGUGUAAAGGGAGCGCAGGCGGCGCGCCAAGUCUGGUGUGAAACCCCGGGGCUCAACCCCGGGACUGCAUUGGAAACUGGCGGGCUGGAGUGUCGGAGGGGCAGGCGGAAUUCCUGGUGUAGCGGUGAAAUGCGUAGAUAUCAGGAGGAACACCGGUGGCGAAGGCGGCCUGCUGGACGACAACUGACGCUGAGGCUCGAAAGCGUGGGGAGCAAACAGGAUUAGAUACCCGUGUA
RNAcentral lists this ribosomal RNA (446 nucleotides) under uncultured bacterium. RNAcentral describes it as "bacterial SSU rRNA". It matches the Rfam family "Bacterial small subunit ribosomal RNA", at positions 329 to 792 of the family's 1533-position model. The record is from RNAcentral.